Molecule: ribosomal RNA, 460 nt
Filed under: uncultured bacterium
Lineage: Bacteria
Description: partial 16S ribosomal RNA
Rfam family: Bacterial small subunit ribosomal RNA
Source: RNAcentral
CCUACGGGUGGCAGCAGUGAGGAAUAUUUGUCAAUGGACGAGAGUCUGAACCAGCCAAGCAGCGUGAAGGAUGACUGCCCUACGGGUUGUAAACCUCUUUUAUAUGGGAAUAAAACAGGGUAUGCAUACCCUCUUGUAUGUACCAUACGAAUAAGGAUCGGCUAACUCCGUGCCAGCAGCCGCGGUAAUACGGAGGAUCCGAGCGUUAUCCGGAUUUAUUGGGUUUAAAGUGAGCGUAGGUGGUUUGUUAAGUCAGUUGUGAAAGUUGGCGGCUCAACCGUAAAAUUGCAGUUGAAACUGGCAGUCUAGAGUACAGUAGAGGUAGGCGGAAUGCGUGGUGUAGCGGUGAAAUGCUUAGAUAUCGCGAAGAACUCCGAUUGCGAAGGCAGCUCACUGGACUGCAACUGACACUGAUGCACGAAAGUGUGGGUAUCGAACAGGAUUAGAUACCCGAGUAGUC